RNAcentral lists this ribosomal RNA (492 nucleotides) under uncultured bacterium. Its description in RNAcentral is "partial 16S ribosomal RNA". It matches the Rfam family "Bacterial small subunit ribosomal RNA", at positions 29 to 507 of the family's 1533-position model. The record is from RNAcentral.
AGUGAACGCUGGCGGUAGGCCUAACACAUGCAAGUCGAACGGCAGCACAGUAAGAGCUUGCCCUUACGGGUGGCGAGUGGCGGACGGGUGAGGAAUACAUCGGAAUCUACUUUUUCGUGGGGGACAACGUAGGGAAACUUACGCUAAUACCGCAUACGAUCUACGGGUGAAAUCAGGGGAGCUUCGGACCUUGCGCGAUUCAAUGAGCCGAUGCCGGAUUAGCUAGUUGGCUAGGUAAAGGCCCACCAAGGCGACGAUCCGUAGCUGGUCUGAGAGGAUGAUCGGCCACACUGGAACUGAGACACGGUCCAGACUCCUACGGGAGGCAGCAGUGGGGAAUAUUGGGCAAUGGGCGCAAGCCUGAUCCAGCCAUACCGCGUGGGUGAAGAAGGCCUUCGGGUUGUAAAGCCCUUUUGUUGGGAAAGAAAAGCAGCAGGUUAAUACCCCGCUGUUCUGACGGUACCCAAAGAGUAAGCACCGGCUAACUUCGUG